CCUACGGGAGGCAGCAGUGGGGAAUAUUGCACAAUGGGGGAAACCCUGAUGCAGCGACGCCGCGUGAGUGAGGACGUAUUUCGGUAUGUAAAGCUCUAUCAGCAGGGAAGACAAUGCAGGUACCUGAAUACGAAGCCACGGCGAACUACGUGCCAGCAGCCGCGGUGAUACGUCAGGGGCAAGCGUUAUCCGGAUUUACUGGGUGUAAAGGGAGCGUAGACGGCUAAUCAAGUCAGAAGUGAAAACCCAGGGCUCAACUUUGGUACUGCUUUUGAAACUGAGUAGCUAGAGUGCAGGAGAGGUAAGCGGAAUUCCUAGUGUAGCGGUGAAAUGCGUAGAUAUUAGGAGGAACACCAGUGGCGAAGGCGGCUUACUGGACUGUAACUGACGUUGAGGCUCGAAAGCGUGGGGAGCAAACAGGAUUAGAUACCCGUGUAGUC
Molecule: ribosomal RNA, 440 nt
Filed under: uncultured bacterium
Lineage: Bacteria
Description: partial 16S ribosomal RNA
Rfam family: Bacterial small subunit ribosomal RNA
Source: RNAcentral